Molecule: non-coding RNA, 269 nt
Organism: Arachis ipaensis
Lineage: Eukaryota; Viridiplantae; Streptophyta; Magnoliopsida; Fabales; Fabaceae
Source: RefSeq, a predicted model, not a curated record
CAUAGGGUUGAGUCCCGGUAUUUGCGCGUCGGAAUUAAAGAUGCUGUUGGGCCACCGGAGCUUCUGGCCGCUCACGGAUCUUUUGUCGGGGCAAUUCGAAGUCGUAGCUGCUUCGCUUGUUAGUAUAGUUUGAGUUCCGGUGAUUUCGUGUUGCAUAAGUGUUGCGGAGGCUGCCGUGUCAUUCCUUUUAUUUCAGAAGUAGUAGCUGAGCUUAUACGUGGCGCUGAGGCUGUUUCUUAUAUUGAGAAAAACACGCGGAACCGGGAUUU